GAUGAACGCUGGCGGCGUGCCUAAUACAUGCAAGUCGAGCGAACAGAUGAGGAGCUUGCUCCUCUGACGUUAGCGGCGGACGGGUGAGUAACACGUGGAUAACCUACCUAUAAGACUGGGAUAACUUCGGGAAACCGGAGCUAAUACCGGAUAAUAUAUUGAACCGCAUGGUUCAAUAGUGAAAGACGGUUUUGCUGUCACUUAUAGAUGGAUCCGCGCCGCAUUAGCUAGUUGGUAAGGUAACGGCUUACCAAGGCAACGAUGCGUAGCCGACCUGAGAGGGUGAACGGCCACACUGGAACUGAGACAAGGUCCAGAAUCCUAAGGGAGGCAGCAGUAGGGAAUCUUCCGCAAUGGGCGAAAGCCUGACGGAGCAACGCCGCGUGAGUGAAGAAGGUCUUCGGAUCGUAAAACUCUGUUAUUAGGGAAGAACAAAUGUGUAAGUAACUAUGCACGUCUUGACGGUACCUAAACAAAAAGCCACGGCUAAAUACGUG
This 497-nucleotide ribosomal RNA is filed under the name uncultured bacterium. RNAcentral describes it as "partial 16S ribosomal RNA". It matches the Rfam family "Bacterial small subunit ribosomal RNA", at positions 28 to 507 of the family's 1533-position model. The record is from RNAcentral.